Molecule: ribosomal RNA, 887 nt
Filed under: Diplogelasinospora grovesii
Lineage: Eukaryota; Fungi; Ascomycota; Sordariomycetes; Sordariales; Diplogelasinosporaceae
Description: LSU rRNA
Rfam family: Eukaryotic large subunit ribosomal RNA
Source: RNAcentral
UUAGCAUAUCAAUAGCGGAGGAAAAGAAACCAACAGGGAUUGCCCUAGUAACGGCGAGUGAAGCGGCAACAGCUCAAAUUUGAAAUCUGGCCUCGGCCCGAGUUGUAAUUUGUAGAGGAAGCUUUUGGCGCGGCACCUUCUGAGUCCCCUGGAACGGGGCGCCAUAGAGGGUGAGAGCCCCGUAUAGUCGGAUGCCCAGCCUUUGUAAAGCUCCUUCGACGAGUCGAGUAGUUUGGGAAUGCUGCUCAAAAUGGGAGGUAAAUUUCUUCUAAAGCUAAAUACCGGCCAGAGACCGAUAGCGCACAAGUAGAGUGAUCGAAAGAUGAAAAGCACUUUGAAAAGAGGGUUAAACAGCACGUGAAAUUGUUGAAAGGGAAGCGCUUGUGACCAGACUUGCGCCGGGCUGAUCAUCCGGUGUUCUCACCGGUGCACUCUGCCCGGCUCAGGCCAGCAUCGGUUCUCGCGGGGGGACAAAGGUCCUGGGAACGUAGCUCCUCCGGGAGUGUUAUAGCCCAGGGCGCAAUGCCCCCGCGGGGACCGAGGUUCGCGCUCUGCAAGGAUGCUGGCGUAAUGGUCACCAGCGACCCGUCUUGAAACACGGACCAAGGAGUCAAGGUUUUGCGCGAGUGUUUGGGUGUAAAACCCGCACGCGUAAUGAAAGUGAACGUGGGUGAGAGCUUCGGCGCAUCAUCGACCGAUCCUGAUGUAUUCGGAUGGAUUUGAGUAGGAGCGUUAAGCCUUGGACCCGAAAGAUGGUGAACUAUGCUUGGAUAGGGUGAAGCCAGAGGAAACUCUGGUGGAGGCUCGCAGCGGUUCUCACGUGCAACCCCCUCGUCAAAUCUCCCCACGGGGGCGAAAGACUAAUCGAACCAUCUAGUAGCUGGUUA